AAGUUCCGACCCGCACGAAAGGCGUAACGAUUUGGGCACUGUCUCAACGAGAGACUCGGUGAAAUCAUAGUACCUGUGAAGAUGCAGGUUACCCGCGACAGGACGGAAAGACCCCGUGGAGCUUUACUGUAGCCUGAUAUUGAAAUUCGGCACAGCUUGUACAGGAUAGGUAGGAGCCUUUGAAACGUGAGCGCUAGCUUACGUGGAGGCGCUGGUGGGAUACUACCCUAGCUGUGUUGGCUUUCUAACCCGCACCACUUAUCGUGGUGGGAGACAGUGUCAGGCGGGCAGUUUGACUGGGGCGGUCGCCUCCUAAAAGGUAACGGAGGCGCUCAAAGGUUCCCUCAGAAUGGUUGGAAAUCAUUCAUAGAGUGUAAAGGCAUAAGGGAGCUUGACUGCGAGACCUACAAGUCGAGCAGGG
Molecule: ribosomal RNA, 421 nt
Filed under: Staphylococcus aureus
Lineage: Bacteria; Bacillati; Bacillota; Bacilli; Caryophanales; Staphylococcaceae
Description: partial 23S ribosomal RNA
Rfam family: Bacterial large subunit ribosomal RNA
Source: RNAcentral